UCCUACGGGGGGCAGCAGUGAGGAAUAUUGGUCAAUGGACGAGAGUCUGAACCAGCCAAGUAGCGUGAAGGAUGACUGCCCUAUGGGUUGUAAACUUCUUUUAUAUGGGAAUAAAACAGGGUAUGCAUACCCUCUUGUAUGUACCAUAUGAAUAAGGAUCGGCUAACUCCGUGCCAGCAGCCGCGGUAAUACGGAGGAUCCGAGCGUUAUCCGGAUUUAUUGGGUUUAAAGGGUGCGCAGGCGGAAUGUCAAGUCAGCGGUAAAAUUUCGGGGCUCAACCCCGUCGUGCCGUUGAAACUGGCGUU
Molecule: ribosomal RNA, 305 nt
Filed under: uncultured bacterium
Lineage: Bacteria
Description: bacterial SSU rRNA
Rfam family: Bacterial small subunit ribosomal RNA
Source: RNAcentral